Octopus sinensis (East Asian common octopus) is the source of this 116-nucleotide long non-coding RNA. RefSeq lists it as uncharacterized. The transcript is spliced from 3 exons. Lineage: Eukaryota; Metazoa; Mollusca; Cephalopoda; Octopoda; Octopodidae. The record is from RefSeq and is a predicted model, not a curated record.
GAGGGUGACAAGCUAAAAAAGAAACUGUGCCCAGCCACUUAGAAUAGAAUACUGAAAGAUAAGUCUGAGAGUGAACAGAAAUUAUUUAAUCCAUCAUCAUCAGUUCAGUAAAAUAU